RNAcentral lists this transfer RNA (65 nucleotides) under Cherax punctatus. RNAcentral describes it as "tRNA-Leu". Lineage: Eukaryota; Metazoa; Arthropoda; Malacostraca; Decapoda; Parastacidae. The record is from RNAcentral.
UUUACUUUGGCAGAAUAUGCGUUAGAUUUAGAAUUUAAUUAUAUAGGGAUGAACUAUAAGUAAAA